Molecule: transfer RNA, 72 nt
Filed under: Ictidomys tridecemlineatus (thirteen-lined ground squirrel)
Lineage: Eukaryota; Metazoa; Chordata; Mammalia; Rodentia; Sciuridae
Description: Spermophilus tridecemlineatus (thirteen-lined ground squirrel) tRNA
Rfam family: tRNA
About the family: Transfer RNA (tRNA) molecules are approximately 80 nucleotides in length. Their secondary structure includes four short double-helical elements and three loops (D, anti-codon, and T loops).
Source: Rfam by way of RNAcentral
UGGGUUGUGACUCAGUGAUAGAGUGCUUGCCUUGCAUGUGUGAGGCACUGGGUUCAAUUCUCAGCAGCACAU